GUCGAGCGGAUGAGAAGAGCUUGCUCUUCAAUUCAGCGGCGGACGGGUGAGUAAUGCCUAGGAAUCUGCCUGAUAGUGGGGGACAACGUUUCGAAAGGAACGCUAAUACCGCAUACGUCCUACGGGAGAAAGCAGGGGACCUUCGGGCCUUGCGCUAUCAGAUGAGCCUAGGUCGGAUUAGCUAGUUGGUGGGGUAAUGGCUCACCAAGGCGACGAUCCGUAACUGGUCUGAGAGGAUGAUCAGUCACACUGGAACUGAGACACGGUCCAGACUCCUACGGGAGGCAGCAGUGGGGAAUAUUGGACAAUGGGCGAAAGCCUGAUCCAGCCAUGCCGCGUGUGUGAAGAAGGUCUUCGGAUUGUAAAGCACUUUAAGUUGGGAGGAAGGGCAGUAAGCGAAUACCUUGCUGUUUUGA
This 416-nucleotide ribosomal RNA is filed under the name uncultured bacterium. RNAcentral describes it as "bacterial SSU rRNA". It matches the Rfam family "Bacterial small subunit ribosomal RNA", at positions 61 to 472 of the family's 1533-position model. The record is from RNAcentral.